GGGGGUGUAAGGGUUUCGACUGUGGGAUCGUACUGAUAUGGAUUGCAGGCAGAGCUGCUCUAACUCUUUAAACUGGACAAAAAUGUUAAUUGCCGAAGAUAAUUUCGAAGCAAAUUACGCUUUAGCAGCUUAAAUAAGCUGUGCGGGCCCCUGGGAUGCCGUUCUUAAUGCCAGGUGUGCUUGUCAAAGAUAGGGACUUGCUUUCUGUUAGGUCUGGAUAACAGGAGGGACUCUUUCCAGUCUUAGGGGUGUGACGGUUUAGUGCCUUCACCAUCCACACCCUGAAACACCUAAGAAGGUACUAAGCUUGUAGACGUUUAUGUCAUGCCCCAUAGGACGCGGGUUCGACUCCCGCCACCUCCAAAA
This 366-nucleotide transfer-messenger RNA is filed under the name Spirochaetia. RNAcentral's name for it is "JAEINK01 sp016342585 Standard tmRNA". It matches the Rfam family "transfer-messenger RNA". From Rfam's summary of the family: Bacterial tmRNA, also known as 10Sa RNA or SsrA, is named for its dual tRNA and mRNA-like properties. Its role is to liberate the mRNA from a stalled ribosome. The record is from RNAcentral. Lineage: Bacteria; Pseudomonadati; Spirochaetota. RNAcentral also lists the same sequence under 1 other name.